RNAcentral lists this ribosomal RNA (545 nucleotides) under uncultured eukaryote. Its description in RNAcentral is "eukaryotic LSU rRNA". The stretch from base 157 to 309 matches the Rfam family "5.8S ribosomal RNA". The record is from RNAcentral.
UUCCGUAGGUGAACCUGCGGAAGGAUCAUUCGCACAAAGAUAUGUUCUAUUCCACCCGCCACGCACCAUACAGUGCUUUCCGUUUUAUCAUCAGGAAAUUUAAUUUCCAACUCGUCGAUGUUGCGAUCUCAUUGCAAUGUAUGCGAUGUUAUCUAUCUCUUGCGACGACGAAUGCCUUGGCUCGAGGAUCGUUGAAGGACGCAGCGAACUGUGCUAAACAUCUCGAAUUGCAGAUUUCCGAGAAAGAAAAGGAUUCUGAACGCAUUCUGCGAGUUGAACUUGUUUCAGCUCACGUGAUUGACGGUGACCGAAAUAUGCAGUCGCUCGAACUCCGAAGUUCAAGUGGUGUUCACAUGUUGUCGCAAAGUUUUGCGCCGACGUGUUCGUGGAAUUCAGCGCGUCUCUCGUUUUCGAGUUGCAUUAUGAAUUCAUUUCAUUGUGUUCGAUUUCAUUGACGUGUCUCAGUUUUUCAUUUUUUGAAAACAUUUUUUUCCGCACGCUCACGAUCAGUCACGGGAUUACCCGCUGAAUUUAAGCAUAUCAAU